This 315-nucleotide unclassified non-coding RNA is filed under the name fungal sp. RNAcentral's name for it is "partial internal transcribed spacer region". The stretch from base 1 to 46 matches the Rfam family "Eukaryotic small subunit ribosomal RNA", at positions 1786 to 1831 of the family's 1831-position model. The record is from RNAcentral. RNAcentral also lists the same sequence under 1 other name. Lineage: Eukaryota; Fungi.
AAGUCGUAACAAGGUUUCCGUAGGUGAACCUGCGGAAGGAUCAUUACAAAUCUAGUGGGUGGGUGUGGGUGGGAGUGCGGGUGCUUGGUUGUUGUUGGGUGGGGUAAGAGUGGGCUUGCUUGCUCUCUUACUCUGCCUGGCCUGGCUGGGCACGCACACAAAACACCGCACCACAUCACAUCACACACCACACACACAUUGGCACAGGGCCACUCACAACAUGUGGCCUUGAUGUUUACGCUUGUUUGUUUGACAGAGUAAAAAUAUAUGAGACCCCAAUUUUGACAACUUUUAACAAUGGAUCUCUUGGCUCUU